This 301-nucleotide ribosomal RNA is filed under the name uncultured bacterium. Its description in RNAcentral is "partial 16S ribosomal RNA". It matches the Rfam family "Bacterial small subunit ribosomal RNA", at positions 509 to 807 of the family's 1533-position model. The record is from RNAcentral.
CAGUAGCCGCGGUAAAACGAAGGGGGCUAGCGUUGUUCGGAAUCACUGGGCGUAAAGCGUGCGCAGGCGGUUUGUUAAGACAGAUGUGAAAUCCCCGGGCUCAACCUGGGAACUGCAUUUGUGACUGGCAGGCUAGAGUAUGGCAGAGGGGGGUGGAAUUCCGCGUGUAGCAGUGAAAUGCGUAGAUAUGCGGAGGAACACCGAUGGCGAAGGCAGCCCCCUGGGCCAAUACUGACGCUCAUGCACGAAAGCGUGGGGAGCAAACAGGAUUAGAUACCCCGGUAGUCCCUGUCUCUUAUAC